GUGACAUGUUGGAGAAGUUUCAACCUGUUCUUAGCCUCCCUGUGUGACUUCGGAGCUGCACUCGUAACACUGAAGAUAGACUUUCUUCUCCCCAUGGAUUUAGACCUCUGUUCUUUUCUUUUCAAGCAAGAGUGAAUUUAGCAGUUCUUCUGAUCUGGGUUUUUUUCCCCACACCCAGAAUUUGCUUUGGUAAAGAUAGCCUGGCAAGUCAGGAAGGACACCACCCCGAUGCCUAAAGAACAUCACGUGAUGUUGUCUUCCUACGGGAGAAUAAAAACUGUUAAACACACAUCCACUGGGGCCUCGCAGCCUUUCAAGGGGAGCAUCGGAAG
Molecule: long non-coding RNA, 332 nt
Filed under: Mustela putorius furo (domestic ferret)
Lineage: Eukaryota; Metazoa; Chordata; Mammalia; Carnivora; Mustelidae
Description: lncRNA (ENSMPUG00000024626.1)
Source: RNAcentral